RNAcentral lists this ribosomal RNA (554 nucleotides) under uncultured bacterium. RNAcentral's name for it is "bacterial SSU rRNA". It matches the Rfam family "Bacterial small subunit ribosomal RNA", at positions 102 to 674 of the family's 1533-position model. The record is from RNAcentral.
ACGGGUGAGUAACACGUAGGUAACCUACCCUUCAGUGGGGGACAACAGAGGGAAACUUCUGCUAAUACCGCAUACGAUCACGGACUGGGAUGUCCGUGGUGAAAGGAUUUAUUCGCUGAGGGAUGGGCCUGCGGCCUAUCAGGUAGUUGGUGGGGUAAUGGCCUACCAAGCCUGCGACGGGUAGCCGGACUGAGAGGUCGAUCGGCCACACUGGAACUGAGACACGGUCCAGACUCCUACGGGAGGCAGCAGUGGGGAAUAUUGCACAAUGGGGGAAACCCUGAUGCAGCGACGCCGCGUGGAGGAUGACGGCCUUCGGGUUGUAAACUCCUUUUGUCGGGGACAAUGGUGAUGGUACCCGACGAAUAAGCCACGGCUAACUCUGUGCCAGCAGCCGCGGUAAGACAGAGGUGGCGAGCGUUGUUCGGAAUUACUGGGCUUAAAGGGCGCGUAGGCGGUGGUGUAAGUCUAGGGUGGAAUGCUACAGCUCAACUGUAGAGCUGCCUUGGAAACUGCAUUACUUGAGUCGGUGAGGGGAAGGUGGAAUUCCAGGU